Oryzias latipes (Japanese medaka) is the source of this 1113-nucleotide non-coding RNA. The record is from RefSeq and is a predicted model, not a curated record. Lineage: Eukaryota; Metazoa; Chordata; Actinopteri; Beloniformes; Adrianichthyidae.
GGAGAAAACGAGGAGGAGGCACUCGGAGGUGAUGCUGGAGCUGAGUGGAGGCGGAACAACAGCAGAGGAGUUGAAAGAAUGAAUGUUCAGGAGAGAAGCGACACCUUUAUUCACGCUCAGCCGCCGCUCAAGGACAACUUUUUUUCCUUCUUUUCUCUCCGUUUUGUAUCCGAGGCAGAAACGUCUGCAGCAGGAGGAACCGUCAGGAGGGGGUCCAGCUCCACCGUGUCACCUCUUCUCCCCGUUUGCCGCCAUCAGGAGCAUAAUUACUGCUCAUCUGAAUGGACUUUCCUCUCCUUAAGGUCACGGCCGCGUUUUUUCUUUCUCUGCUCCUCCACCACGUUAAUGGCCGUAAGCGUGAUUUGCAUCAGAAUUGGAGGGGGGGCUUUGGCGCAGGACUUAGUGUCGUUUUAACAGACGUGGUGGUCACCUGACUCCGGAUUCGGGUCAAAACUCACGGUCGGCGCGGCGCUAAUUGUUGCUGAAACUUUCUUGUGCUGCAUUCAUCACUGGGUUUUUUUCACUGCAGGAAGUUGAAUCCUAAUUAGUACUCAGAUCUUAUUCUGAAAAGGUUUUGUGUCAAAAGGAAGCUCUCGAUGUUGGUAGCUUCGAUACAUGAGCCCAUCUCCAGGAGGACAAAGAAAUCAAAUAAACGUGGUUUAGUUUAGUCAAAGAUCAGGUCAAACGUACGGCUUUUACCUGCCGACAAGAGUUCACCUCAAUUUCCAGAUCAUCACCUCCUUUUUGGCACUCUUUCUCUAGUUCUAACCCCUCCCUCCUGCUUGGAGUGUUGCAUAAUGUGCAAAAAUACUCCCAGUCCUCUUUGUUGAAACAACGGAGCAUCUAAGGCGUCGUCAUGCAGAAGCUGCUGCAGGUUUGGUGCUGCAAAGACGUUUACAGGAGAUGGCUCCAGCACAUUUAAGCCCUUUCUGCCGAAAUUUCAACAAACUCCAACUAUUUAGUAUUCCUUUAGAGGUCAAACCUCUACUGUCAAUCAUUUUAUGAUUAUAUUUCACAAACACAUGUUUGGUGACUGUUAAUCAUUACAAAUGUGAUGACAUUUACGUUUUUGUAGAACCACUUCAAUGAAAAUGGUGCUUUUUGUGUUUUUAA